RNAcentral lists this transfer RNA (70 nucleotides) under Dipodomys ordii (Ord's kangaroo rat). It matches the Rfam family "tRNA". From Rfam's summary of the family: Transfer RNA (tRNA) molecules are approximately 80 nucleotides in length. Their secondary structure includes four short double-helical elements and three loops (D, anti-codon, and T loops). Further hydrogen bonds mediate the characteristic L-shaped molecular structure. tRNAs have two regions of fundamental functional importance: the anti-codon, which is responsible for specific mRNA codon recognition, and the 3' end, to which the tRNAs corresponding amino acid is attached (by aminoacyl-tRNA synthetases). tRNAs cope with the degeneracy of the genetic code in two manners: having more than one tRNA (with a specific anti-codon) for a particular amino acid; and 'wobble' base-pairing, i.e. permitting non-standard base-pairing at the 3rd anti-codon position. Lineage: Eukaryota; Metazoa; Chordata; Mammalia; Rodentia; Heteromyidae. The record is from Rfam by way of RNAcentral.
GGGAAUGUAGCUUAAUGGUAGAGCGCUUGUCUAGCAUGCAUGAAGCCCUAGGUUCAAUUCCUUAGUACCA